RNAcentral lists this long non-coding RNA (425 nucleotides) under Panax ginseng (ginseng). RNAcentral's name for it is "long non-coding RNA (PGIN_LNC016365)". Lineage: Eukaryota; Viridiplantae; Streptophyta; Magnoliopsida; Apiales; Araliaceae. The record is from RNAcentral.
GUGGCGGUGUGAUUUGUCCACGGCGUCUCCGUUUUGGGCUCCGGAGGAAGUGGGCCAUUUGGUGUUUUGUUGUGGGAGGCGUAUGGGUUAACCCUAGUUUUCUGUUCUGCGGAUUUGUGAUGUUGUGCCAAACACACAUAUCCGAUUUGCAUACAUUUAGAUUCGCGGUCCAAUGUGUGAUUUGUCUGUGUGGCAUUAUUUUGGUUGCCUGUGUGGCAUCAUUUGACUUGCCUGUGUGGCAAUGUGUAUUUCUGAGCUCAUUCGGUAUAAAAUAACUCCAGCCAUUUGUUUCAGCCUAUUAUUUUAUUGGAUUAGUUUUGUUGGUUUCUGUUCAGUUCAAGUCAUUGAGUUAGUUACUUCAAUUCGUUAUUUCUUUAUUCUUUUAUUGGUUUCGUCAAUUACGUUGAUUCAGAUAUAUUCAUUAC